CGGGGAAUUUUGGACAAUGGGGGAAACCCUGAUCCAGCCAUCCCGCGUGUGCGAUGAAGGCCUCCGGGUUGUAAAGCACUUUUUGCAGGAAAGAAACGUCAUGGGUUAAUACCCCGUGAAACUGACGGUACCUGCAGAAUAAGCACCGGCUAACUACGUGCCAGCAGCCGCGGUAAUACGUAGGGUGCAAGCGUUAAUCGGAAUUACUGGGCGUAAAGCGUGCGCAGGCGGUUCGGGAAGAAAGAGGUGAAAUCCCAGAGCUCAACUUUGGAGCUGCAUAUUUAACUGCCGGGCUAGAGUGUGUCGGAGGGAGGUUGGAUUCCGCGUGUAGCAGUGAAAUGCGUAGUUAUGCGGAGGAACGCCGAUGGCGAAGGCAGCCUCCUGGGAUAACACUGACGCUCAUGCACGAAAGCGUGGGGAGCAAGCAG
Molecule: ribosomal RNA, 428 nt
Filed under: Acidobacteriota bacterium
Lineage: Bacteria; Pseudomonadati; Acidobacteriota
Description: Acidobacteria bacterium partial 16S ribosomal RNA
Rfam family: Bacterial small subunit ribosomal RNA
Source: RNAcentral